Molecule: non-coding RNA, 31 nt
Filed under: Rattus norvegicus (Norway rat)
Lineage: Eukaryota; Metazoa; Chordata; Mammalia; Rodentia; Muridae
Source: RNAcentral
UGCGACGAACGUUAAAAUGAAUCACCACUGU